UAGCAGUCGGCGGUUAAACCUGAGUAGCUCAAGUCAAGCGGGACAGCGCAAAAGGCGGUGAAACGGCCUGCCCGCAGGUGGUUUUUGUGGGGAGGAGAAAGAUGGUAGAGGACCGAACUCGGGGGGAAGGGGUAUAAUCCGGGUCUCCCCCGGAGGAAGGGGAGGUGUUUUCUAUUGGCUGAGGCCGCGGAACCGGGUGAAGAAGACAUGGAUUUGAGACCCAUUUAUAACCGGCGCAAACUUUGCUUUCAGGCGGCUGCUUGGGGACUACGAGCGCGUGCUUAAAACUCAAAGAACUUGGCGGCUUGUUAACUACCUAGGGGAAUAUGUGCCUUAAUCCGAUGCUCCCCGUAGAAUCUUACUGUGCCUUGAAAAAGUCCAGCCGGUGUAUUGCCGUUGUCAGCUUGUUGUUAGAGCAGAGAGUAACGAGCUCAAUGGACCCAAACGAUUAGGUCGUUGGUGUCCGUGAAUUCAGGUCGAAAUAUCGCCAAUGGCUCAAGGGAGUAGGUGUUACAAUUUUAAUUCUAAACUACGGAUUCCUAUUUUGAAAUAGUUGGAUGAAGGUGAACUUAGGAGUAAGGAGAGAUUAAUAUGUUUUCCUGAACAAUGCUCUGGCUUGUGUACAAACUGCCCGUCGCCCUCGCCGUGAGGUGAGGUAAGUCGUAACAAGGGUAGGGGUA
Molecule: ribosomal RNA, 680 nt
Filed under: Decatopecten plica
Lineage: Eukaryota; Metazoa; Mollusca; Bivalvia; Pectinida; Pectinidae
Description: partial 12S ribosomal RNA
Rfam family: Bacterial small subunit ribosomal RNA
Source: RNAcentral